AACUUUAUUGGAUGAGUCAAGGCAGAGUACAUCAGUGAUGGCAGUCACACUGAAUUUUUCUCUUUCCCUGUUGGAGAAAGCUACUCUGUCUUUUUCCAUAUCUGUCUUCCUUUAAAAGAAAAAAAGAGAGAGUAAUGCUCAUAGUUUCUGGAGAUAUGUGUUUUAAUCAAACACCUCUAUCACAUAUCUGCAGGAACUAUGAGCAUAAUAUUUUUUCUUAAAGGGAGACAAAUAUGAGAGAGACAGAGCAGCUGCCUUCUAAAUACACUGCAUGGAGGAAGGAGAAUUCAGUGUGACUGCCAUCGUUGAUAUACUCUGUCUUGACUCAUCCAAUAAAGUU
RNAcentral lists this microRNA precursor (340 nucleotides) under Podarcis lilfordi (Lilford's wall lizard). Lineage: Eukaryota; Metazoa; Chordata; Lepidosauria; Squamata; Lacertidae. The record is from RNAcentral.